AUUGAACGCUGGCGGAAUGCUUUACACAUGCAAGUCGAACGGCAGCACGGACUUCGGUCUGGUGGCGAGUGGCGAACGGGUGAGUAAUGCAUCGGAACGUGCCCAGUCGUGGGGGAUAACGUAGCGAAAGUUACGCUAAUACCGCAUACGAUCUAUGGAUGAAAGCGGGGGACCGUAAGGCCUCGCGCGAUUGGAGCGGCCGAUGUCAGAUUAGGUAGUUGGUGGGGUAAAGGCUCACCAAGCCGACGAUCUGUAGCUGGUCUGAGAGGACGACCAGCCACACUGGGACUGAGACACGGCCCAGACUCCUACGUGAGGCAGCAGUGGGGAAUUUUGGACAAUGGGCGCAAGCCUGAUCCAGCCAUUCCGCGUGCAGGAUGAAGGCCCUCGGGUUGUAAACUGCUUUUGUACGGAACGAAACGGUCUGCUCUAAUACAGCGGGCUAAUGACGGUACCGUAAGAAUAAGCACCGGCUAACUACGUGCCAGCCGCCGCAGUAA
Molecule: ribosomal RNA, 500 nt
Filed under: uncultured bacterium
Lineage: Bacteria
Description: partial 16S ribosomal RNA
Rfam family: Bacterial small subunit ribosomal RNA
Source: RNAcentral